CGUCACAACGGCUUCCUGGCGUGGCGCUGAAAUCAUUAACGGAGCA
Molecule: non-coding RNA, 46 nt
Filed under: marine eukaryotic metagenome
Description: SAM/SAH riboswitch
Rfam family: SAM/SAH riboswitch aptamer
Source: RNAcentral